Molecule: ribosomal RNA, 253 nt
Filed under: uncultured bacterium
Lineage: Bacteria
Description: partial 16S ribosomal RNA
Rfam family: Bacterial small subunit ribosomal RNA
Source: RNAcentral
UACGGAGGGUGCGAGCGUUAUCCGGAUUUACUGGGUUUAAAGGGUGCGUAGGUGGGUCGGUAAGUCAGCGGUGAAAUCUUCGAGCUUAACUCGGAAACUGCCAUUGAUACUAUCGAUCUUGAAUCAUCUGGAGGUAAGCGGAAUAUGUCAUGUAGCGGUGAAAUGCUUAGAUAUGACAUAGAACACCAAUUGCGAAGGCAGCUUACUACGGAUGUAUUGACACUGAGGCACGAAAGCGUGGGGAUCAAACAGG